UUAAAGGUUUUGAGAAGGACAUGAUUUGUUGGACUGAGUUAGUACAGAGAUGGGAGCCUUGGCUGUAAGCUUCCUCUAUACCAUCAACUGAUUACCCCCUUUGAACCCUGCUGUGGAAAUGAAGUAAAUAGCAGCGUAUGAUCUGCGUUAAAGAUGUUAUGAAGCCGUAAUUUAUUUUUACGGAAACUUGGGUGGAACCACGACGUGUCAGCGCUCGUCCCUUUG
RNAcentral lists this non-coding RNA (225 nucleotides) under Oceanobacillus picturae. RNAcentral describes it as "T-box". It matches the Rfam family "T-box leader". Rfam says of the family: Uncharged tRNA acts as the effector for transcription antitermination of genes in the T-box leader family. The record is from RNAcentral. Lineage: Bacteria; Bacillati; Bacillota; Bacilli; Caryophanales; Bacillaceae.